Molecule: ribosomal RNA, 252 nt
Filed under: uncultured bacterium
Lineage: Bacteria
Description: partial 16S ribosomal RNA
Rfam family: Bacterial small subunit ribosomal RNA
Source: RNAcentral
UACGGAGGAUGCGAGCGUUAUCCGGAUUUAUUGGGUUUAAAGGGUGCGUAGGCGGGAUGCCAAGUCAGCGGUAAAAAUGCGGUGCUCAACGCCGUCGAGCCGUUGAAACUGGCGUUCUUGAGUGGGCGAGAAGUAUGCGGAAUGCGUGGUAUAGCGGUGAAAUGCAUAGAUAUCACGCAGAACUCCGAUUGCGAAGGCAGCAUACCGGCGCCCUACUGACGCUGAGGCACGAAAGCGUGGGUAUCGAACAGG